UUUAGAAGUGAUGAUGAGACUGAUGAUGGUUUUGCCGUGCUGGUUCCUUGUUACAGACCUGGCUGCAAGGAGUUGGUGGAAGGUUCAACUAACCAGCUUUUAAGUGCUAUCAAGAAUUUGCCAAUUGAGUUCUCUUCUGAGGGAAAGAACUACAUGGAGUGGCUUUCUUCCUUCAGAAUUUCUGAAGUCUAGAGUUGGCUGGCGAUUUGUGGAAGAGUCAUUGCAUCCAGUGAAACAUUUCAAUGACCCCCAACCUGUUACAAAGUAUCAAAUUUAAUUCAGAAAUGAUAGAAGAAAUAAAGUCUAAGCAGCAAACAUUAUGUAUAUAAUAUAUGCAUUACCUUCAUGUGUUGAAGUGCGAAGGAUUAAGCAUCCGUUCAAUCAAGUUGAUGGUAAUGUUGUUUACUUCAGAAAACAUAUUGAACUUGUUUAAUUUAGAGAUGAGUUAGAUGUUUCUCAGCUUAUGUCGUGGUUUGCUAGUGAUAUUUUCUAUGAUUAGAUGCCUGAUCAACUGUUUGACAGGGAAAUAUGAGAUGG
Molecule: unclassified non-coding RNA, 537 nt
Filed under: Hevea brasiliensis (rubber tree)
Lineage: Eukaryota; Viridiplantae; Streptophyta; Magnoliopsida; Malpighiales; Euphorbiaceae
Source: RNAcentral